UACGGAGGGUGCGAGCGUUGUCCGGAAUUACUGGGCGUAAAGAGCUCGUAGGUGGUUUGUCGCGUUGUUCGUGAAAACUCACAGCUCAACUGUGGGCGUGCGGGCGAUACGGGCAGACUAGAGUACUGCAGGGGAGACUGGAAUUCCUGGUGUAGCGGUGGAAUGCGCAGAUAUCAGGAGGAACACCGAUGGCGAAGGCAGGUCUCUGGGCAUUAACUGACGCUGAGGAGCGAAAGCAUGGGGAGCGAACAGG
This 253-nucleotide ribosomal RNA is filed under the name uncultured bacterium. RNAcentral's name for it is "partial 16S ribosomal RNA". It matches the Rfam family "Bacterial small subunit ribosomal RNA", at positions 524 to 776 of the family's 1533-position model. The record is from RNAcentral.